UAGAUGCACUAUUGUAAGUCGCUCUGGAUAAGAGCGUCUGCUAAAUGACUUAAA
This is a non-coding RNA of Salmo salar (Atlantic salmon), 54 nucleotides long. NCBI's taxonomy places the organism in Eukaryota, Metazoa, Chordata, Actinopteri, Salmoniformes, Salmonidae. The record is from Rfam.